RNAcentral lists this small nucleolar RNA (125 nucleotides) under Mus caroli (Ryukyu mouse). Its description in RNAcentral is "predicted gene, 22544 (MGP_CAROLIEiJ_G0036656.1)". It matches the Rfam family "Small nucleolar RNA SNORA17". From Rfam's summary of the family: snoRNA ACA 17 belongs to the H/ACA family of snoRNAs and is predicted to guide pseudouridylation of the 28S rRNA at positions U4659 and U4598. It shares the same host gene together with ACA43. NB This family has a high threshold value to exclude a large number of closely related sequences that do not appear to have conserved H and ACA boxes, and may be pseudogenes. Lineage: Eukaryota; Metazoa; Chordata; Mammalia; Rodentia; Muridae. The record is from RNAcentral.
CCUGUCCCUAGAGUCACUGCAGGCUUCUGUCAUAUGUGCAUCAGUAGGUGACAGAGAGAAAUGAGCCUAUCUCUACACUCAGUGUUCUGACCUGUGAACAUUGGAAUGAUUAGUGGCCUAACACU